GGGUGUAGCUCAGUGGUAGACUGCAUGAUUAGCAUGCAUGAGGUCCUGGGUUCCAUCCCCAGUACCUCCA
RNAcentral lists this transfer RNA (70 nucleotides) under Camelus bactrianus (Bactrian camel). It matches the Rfam family "tRNA". Rfam says of the family: Transfer RNA (tRNA) molecules are approximately 80 nucleotides in length. RNAcentral also lists the same sequence under 2 other names. Lineage: Eukaryota; Metazoa; Chordata; Mammalia; Artiodactyla; Camelidae. The record is from Rfam by way of RNAcentral.